RNAcentral lists this ribosomal RNA (453 nucleotides) under uncultured Porphyromonadaceae bacterium. RNAcentral describes it as "bacterial SSU rRNA". It matches the Rfam family "Bacterial small subunit ribosomal RNA", at positions 341 to 792 of the family's 1533-position model. Lineage: Bacteria; Pseudomonadati; Bacteroidota; Bacteroidia; Bacteroidales; Porphyromonadaceae. The record is from RNAcentral.
ACGGGAGGCAGCAGUGAGGAAUAUUGGUCAAUGGACGGAAGUCUGAACCAGCCAAGUCGCGUGAAGGAUGAAGGUAUUAUGUAUUGUAAACUUCUUUAGCAGUGGAGUAAUAAGGGGAUCGCGAUCCCUGAUGCAAGUACACUGAGAAUAAGGAUCGGCUAACUCCGUGCCAGCAGCCGCGGUAAUACGGAGGAUCCGAGCGUUAUCCGGAUUUAUUGGGUUUAAAGGGUGCGCAGGCGGCUUUUUAAGUCAGUGGUUAAAUCGUGACGCUCAACGUCAUCACGCCAUUGAUACUGGAGAGCUUGAUUGCGGUCGAGGUUUGCGGAAUUCGUUGUGUAGCGGUGAAAUGCAUAGAUAUGACGAAGAACACCGAUUGCGUAGGCAGCAGACCAGGCCGUAAAUGACGCUCAUGCACGAAAGUGCGGGGAUCGAACAGGAUUAGAUACCCUGGUA